GACGAACGCUGGCGGCGUGCUUAACACAUGCAAGUCGUACGGUAAGGCCCUUUCGGGGGUCCACGAGUGGCGAACGGGUGAGUAACACGUGAGUAACCUGCCCACAACUUUGGGAUAACGCUAGGAAACUGGUGCUAAUACUGGAUAUGUUCUCCUGCUGCAUGGUGGGGGUUGGAAAGCUCCGGCGGUUGUGGAUGGACUCGCGGCCUAUCAGCUUGUUGGUGGGGUAGUGGCCUACCAAGGCGGCGACGGGUAGCCGGCCUGAGAGGGUGACCGGCCACAUUGGGACUGAGAUACGGCCCAGACUCCUACGGGAGGCAGCAGGGGGGAAUAGUGCACAAUGGGCGCAAGCCUGAUGCAGCAACGCCGCGUGCGGGAUGACGGCCUUCGGGUUGUAAACCGCGUUCAGCAGGGACGAAGCUUUUUGUGACGGUACCUGCAGAAGAAGCACCGGCUAACUACGUG
RNAcentral lists this ribosomal RNA (465 nucleotides) under uncultured bacterium. RNAcentral's name for it is "partial 16S ribosomal RNA". It matches the Rfam family "Bacterial small subunit ribosomal RNA", at positions 28 to 507 of the family's 1533-position model. The record is from RNAcentral.